This 684-nucleotide ribosomal RNA is filed under the name Salmonella enterica subsp. salamae serovar Sofia. RNAcentral's name for it is "partial 23S ribosomal RNA". It matches the Rfam family "Bacterial large subunit ribosomal RNA", at positions 2259 to 2925 of the family's 2925-position model. The record is from RNAcentral. Lineage: Bacteria; Pseudomonadati; Pseudomonadota; Gammaproteobacteria; Enterobacterales; Enterobacteriaceae.
UGGUGGGUAGUUUGACUGGGGCGGUCUCCUCCUAAAGAGUAACGGAGGAGCACGAAGGUUGGCUAAUCCUGGUCGGACAUCAGGAGGUUAGUGCAAUGGCAUAAGCCAGCUUGACUGCGAGCGUGACGGCGCGAGCAGGUGCGAAAGCAGGUCAUAGUGAUCCGGUGGUUCUGAAUGGAAGGGCCAUCGCUCAACGGAUAAAAGGUACUCCGGGGAUAACAGGCUGAUACCGCCCAAGAGUUCAUAUCGACGGCGGUGUUUGGCACCUCGAUGUCGGCUCAUCACAUCCUGGGGCUGAAGUAGGUCCCAAGGGUAUGGCUGUUCGCCAUUUAAAGUGGUACGCGAGCUGGGUUUAGAACGUCGUGAGACAGUUCGGUCCCUAUCUGCCGUGGGCGCUGGAGAACUGAGGGGGGCUGCUCCUAGUACGAGAGGACCGGAGUGGACGCAUCACUGGUGUUCGGGUUGUCAUGCCAAUGGCACUGCCCGGUAGCUAAAUGCGGAAGAGAUAAGUGCUGAAAGCAUCUAAGCACGAAACUUGCCCCGAGAUGAGUUCUCCCUGAGACUUUGAGUCUCCUGAAGGAACGUUGAAGACGACGACGUUGAUAGGCCGGGUGUGUAAGCGCAGCGAUGCGUUGAGCUAACCGGUACUAAUGAACCGUGAGGCUUAACCUUACAACGCCGAAG